UUCAUUGAGAUCAUCCCACAAAGCUGAAGGAAGGGGGUUGAAAAAAGCAAAUAUAUCUUUGAAAACCUGGACAUGUUUUAGUGUUUUGUUUUACAGCGGAGAAGUUACGCAAGAAGACGACUUUAAGUGUGUUUUACUCCUCUUUUAUUUCUUUAAAUUAUAGACAUUGGGAGCUGAAAAUGAUCCUAGUGAGGUCCUGGUGCAACCCCCUCCUUCCAUACACAGGGAAGGGAGACCCUAAAAGCUUGGGUGAACUGGCCAAGGUCACACAUGGAGUCAUGGCUGAGCCUGGGCCUGCCCACAGCUACACCACAGGAUGCUGUACUGUCUGUGCACUUGCCUGUUACGUUCUCUGUUUCGGGGCAGAAUCCCGGAGCCAGAGAGAUUCAUGUUGUCAAGAAGUCGCUAUCAAAUCUGUGCAGAGUGGCUGCAGGAUUGCGUCCAAAGCAAGUCCCAAAAUCUGAGGUCAUGGUCGCAUCUACAUAGUACCACAGAUAACUAGGAAUUAGUUUAACCAGACUCACUCAUCCUAAAAUAAAGAAUGAAUUUAUUUAUUUA
This is a long non-coding RNA of Phacochoerus africanus (Common warthog), 558 nucleotides long. RefSeq lists it as uncharacterized. NCBI's taxonomy places the organism in Eukaryota, Metazoa, Chordata, Mammalia, Artiodactyla, Suidae. The record is from RefSeq and is a predicted model, not a curated record. The transcript is spliced from 2 exons.